GCAGCCGCGGUAAUACGGAGGAUGCGAGCGUUAUCCGGAUUUAUUGGGUUUAAAGGGUGCGUAGGCGGUAUAGCAAGUCAGCGGUUAAAUGUCGGGGCUCAACCUCGGCCUGCCGUUGAAACUGUUGUACUAGAGAGAAUGAGAAGUAUGCGGAAUGCGUGGUGUAGCGGUGAAAUGCUUAGAUAUCACGCAGAACUCCGAUUGCGAAGGCAGCAUGCCGGCAUUUAUCUGACGCUGAGGCACGAAAGCGUGGGGAUCGAACAGGAUUAGAUACCCC
Molecule: ribosomal RNA, 277 nt
Filed under: uncultured bacterium
Lineage: Bacteria
Description: partial 16S ribosomal RNA
Rfam family: Bacterial small subunit ribosomal RNA
Source: RNAcentral